AUACUAGGGCCAUGUUUGGAUAUCAAAAUAAAUAAUUCGAUGAUAAUUUAUCUAAUAUGAAGAUUUUCUUCUGCGACUAAUAUUUAGGAAUGUUUUAAUUAUUUUGCUUCUUAUAAUGUCGUUACAUCUGUAGCUUAGUAUAAUAGUAUAUUUCCUCUACAUAAUAACUUAUCUCACGUCGAAAAAAUCAAAUAUGAUAAUUAUUUUAGACAUUUAAUCACACUUCUUAUUUUCUAAACAUAAAGUACUUCUUUAGUAAAUAAAAUGAAUAUACGGAAUAUAAUGUUCAUGAAUGG
RNAcentral lists this long non-coding RNA (296 nucleotides) under Ananas comosus (pineapple). RNAcentral describes it as "long non-coding RNA (ACOM_LNC008128)". The record is from RNAcentral. Lineage: Eukaryota; Viridiplantae; Streptophyta; Magnoliopsida; Poales; Bromeliaceae.